This 562-nucleotide unclassified non-coding RNA is filed under the name Hevea brasiliensis (rubber tree). Lineage: Eukaryota; Viridiplantae; Streptophyta; Magnoliopsida; Malpighiales; Euphorbiaceae. The record is from RNAcentral.
AGUAAAUGCAAUCCAAGCUAAGGCAGAUAGACUAUCAGCUGCAGCUUUCAAAUGGUUGAAGAAAUCUGAUCUCCUUCCCUCUGUAAGUGCAUUUGCUUUCAUAAUAACUUCGUUCAAUGGCUUCAAAAACUCAGCUAAGCCUGCCAAGUCAGGUUUCUGAGUUUGCUUGACCUUAAUGAGAAGCUCCUUCUGAACAGAAAAGGCCUCUUUCAAAAUCUUAGUUGCGUCAAGAACCUGCCCCCCAAUCUUCUCCGCGGCGCUUGAAACCCUUGCAAAGUAUUGCCCCAUCAGAUCGUCAAAAGCAAGAAUCGAGGGGUCAGUCACCGCAUCCUCGCCACUCUCCGGUGAAACACGGGGCCGGGAUCCAGUAGACAAGGCUUCAAGCCGAGCCACAGCCGACUCCAAACGCUGAAUCAGCUUCUCAUCCAUAGUUGGUUGGAACCCAGAAGUGUUUCUGUCUUUCCCAGAGUGGGAAAGGAGAAAAGCUCAGAUCUGAGAGACAAACAGAGGUGGGUUUCAGUGAUUGGAAUGAGUAAAAGUGGUGGUGAUGGCAAAUGGGUUU